AGCGAACGCUGGCGGCAGGCUUAACACAUGCAAGUCGAGCGGGCAUCCUUGUGGUGUCAGCGGCAGACGGGUGAGUAACGCGUGGGAACGUGCCCUUCGGUUCGGAAUAACUCAGGGAAACUUGAGCUAAUACCGGAUACGUGCGAGAGCAGAAAGGUUUAUCUGCCGAAGGAUCGGCCCGCGUCUGAUUAGCUAGUUGGUGAGGUUACGGCUCACCAAGGCGACGAUCAGUAGCUGGCCUGAGAGGAUGAUCAGCCACACUGGGACUGAGACACGGCCCAGACUCCUACGGGAGGCAGCAGUGGGGAAUAUUGGACAAUGGGGGCAACCCUGAUCCAGCCAUGCCGCGUGAGUGAUGACGGCCUUAGGGUUGUAAAGCUCUUUUCUCCGGGACGAUAAUGACGGUACCGGAGGAAUAAGCCCCGGCUAACUUCGUG
Molecule: ribosomal RNA, 437 nt
Filed under: uncultured bacterium
Lineage: Bacteria
Description: partial 16S ribosomal RNA
Rfam family: Bacterial small subunit ribosomal RNA
Source: RNAcentral